AGCAGUCUCGUGAUGAUUUAUUUAUUGCGUAGUUCAGAUGAUUAUCCCUGAUUACGAUGCAAGUCUUUCGCUCGUAUCUGAUGACUCAG
Molecule: small nucleolar RNA, 89 nt
Organism: Telopea speciosissima
Lineage: Eukaryota; Viridiplantae; Streptophyta; Magnoliopsida; Proteales; Proteaceae
Product: small nucleolar RNA snR60/Z15/Z230/Z193/J17
Exons: 1
Source: RefSeq, a predicted model, not a curated record